Molecule: long non-coding RNA, 421 nt
Filed under: Elaeis guineensis (African oil palm)
Lineage: Eukaryota; Viridiplantae; Streptophyta; Magnoliopsida; Arecales; Arecaceae
Description: long non-coding RNA (EGUI_LNC065897)
Source: RNAcentral
AUCACUCCUGGUAAGAGAAAAUUGCAUCUUACUUGUUCUGAUCGAUUGAUGAUUCAGGAAGCCUUUGAUCAAAGCGGAAUAAAAAUUAGAAAGAGUUUCUAAUAUUUUAUUAAUUGAAUCAUCAUAUAAGAUUGAGAGAAAUAUGAGUAUGAUAUUGGAUUUGACAUCAUUCCAUAUCCAGAGUCAUAUUCGGGGUGCAGGGAGAUCGCAGGAUCAAAUUGUACGGUAACUUUCCACUGAAGGAUAUUUUUGAUAUUUUUAUCAAAAAUUUUAUAUCUUUCAGGUAGACAUGAUACAUUGCUAGACAUCAAUCUUUUCUUAUGGGUUUGAUCAAAUUAAAGAGUUUAAUUCAAUCACCAAUUAGAAAGAGUUCUAAUUGUUGAAAUCGGGUUAGCUCGAUUGGAUCUAGAUCGGUUAGAUU